UUAGUUAAUUGAUGCUACGUUUGGCGUCCACUAUUCCAUUUGCGGCUAAGGAUUUUCUUUCUUAUUUUAUUGUCAACCAGUUUCAUCAUGAAACAGGCCAGGUGCAUUUUUCUCCAGUAGCACUACUUGAAACGGUGCGUACCUUCCUCAGAGGAGGUUAAAGGUCCGUCCAAGUGCACCAAGUAUGUGAUAGGCCUCUUGAAGACCUUUUUCCUCCACACAAGUUUUCAUUCACAUGCAAUUAAUGUAGCUUAAUGGACGAAAUGAUUCUAAUAGGUUGCAAAAAAACACCAGAGAUGGCAGAACACGAGUAGAAAUUGGGUCGUUUCAAUAAUCCUGGAGUUCACUAGGUGUAGAACGCAAGGCGGACAAGGCGGAUUACGAAAAACUUCCAAAAUCUCUCCACAAUUUAUUGAACUGUUUUUAAAAUUUUUAUUCAUUGAUUUUUUUUUUUUUUUUACAGCGACGGACUUUGGGGUGGUAGUAAUAACCUGUUUAAUAAGUAGCGUGUUAGUGUAAGUCACCAGAGCAUACGUCCUAUCCGAUGUCAUUCAUUAAGGACAUUUAUAUUUUGGUUGAAAUUUAAGCGUCAAAGGGAGUGGAUAAUGUGGAUUUCGGACUUGCCUACAAUUCUGUACCACGCAAGCUUGUCACAGCUCUCCAACGUGGCAGCUGAAAAAGGAAUAACAUUUACGAUAGCGUUUGCAGGCUCAGCCACCCAUCUGGACUGGACGAAUGCAUCCUGGAGAUCUUUGCCAUGAGCCUCCAAGUAUGAGUGCAGAGAAGGAAGACAUCUACAUGUAUCCACAAAUAAUGUUGAUAAAAUGUGCACAAGUUUGCAAAGAAAAUAAAAAUAAUUGCUUUAGUUGCUACAUGGCCUAAUUGAGGAGAGCUGGUUUUAUCCGAUGGCACGUUUAAGGGGAAAAAUAGUUAUCAGACCCCCCAUGAUAACUAUUUUAUUCCAAAAAUAAAUUAAAGAUUGAGAAACUAAGUGCCUUCAUGAAACAAAACAAACAUAGGCCACCCUUUUUAUCAUAUCAUCCUACACAGUCUUAUACAGCUGGGUGAGUUCAUAGAUUUUGGACCCCUGGACUUGCCACCCGUGGUCUUAUGCUGAGUAAACAUGUGUACAGAAAUGUUUUUUUUAUACAGAACCAAAGGUGCAUUUUGUAUAUUAAAAAAGGUAAAUAUAUUAUCUUAAGCCACUAUUAGAGAUAAUAUAAAUAGUAAAAAAAAAAUUAAUAGCACGUAACAUUGAGUUAAUUUUUAUGACAUAUUAACAGUGGCUAGUAAAAAAACAUCUGUGUACAUUUACAGUGAGUACCAUAAUGCUUAGGACAAUGACAUGAUUUGUAUCUGUACUCCACAAUUUUAGAUUUGUAAUCAAAUAAUUCACAUGAGGCUUCAGUGCAUAUUCUCAGCUUUUAUUCAAGAGUAUUGAGAUUCAUUUAGGUUUCACCAUGUAGAAAUUCCUGCUUUAUGACCUACUCUCUGGGGAGUUAUUUAUGGAGCUCUCUGUCUCUAAAGUAGGAAAAGUGUGGAACCUGCUGCUCCCUGUAGUUGUUUUAACAUGAGGUUAUUUUAUGCCAAUUUAUUAAGGGGGGUUGGAGCCCCCACGCAAAUUAGGAUGCUGAUUAGAUUUUUUUUUUUCUCAUGUUUUUUUCAAUGUCAAAGUCAGCUCUACCACACAGUUGAGAAGACUGUUAAAGGGAAUUGCUCGGUAAGGGAUAAACCAUCAGAUUUUGCAGAUAGAAGAGACCUUAAAGAAUAGAAAUAUAAAGUUAAUUAUGAGAAAUAUAAUGUAUAAGUUCUUGGAGGUGGUAGGCUGAAACGUGUCCAAAUAAUAAUCAGGUUGAUGACAAAGUUUAAUAAAAUAGAAUUCAUUAAACAAAAAAAUACAUUUAAACUAAAUGACUAUAAGGGAUUAUAUGGAAAAUGGACUGGAGUGUGUGUGUGUGUGUGUGUGUGUGUGUGUACUCAUCAGCAUGUGGUGCAGGGGAAUUGUGUGUACCAACGGCAACCAGAGUUAGGGACGUCUAACUAAUCCCAGUGAGCCUUCACAUUGUAAAGACACAAAACCAUAUAUCUAAUGAUAUUAGUACAGGGGAGAUUGCAUGCACAGAUCUGGGUCGACAGAUUGGUGGAUUGUAAGGUAAUGUUAGUAACAGAGUAUAUAGGUUAGUUUUGUGAGGCUAAGUAGCUGCUGCUAACUAGCCAGCAAAGUGAUAUACUCUAAACACAAUAUUAAAUACAUACUUCAUUGAAAAUAAGAAACAAACAUAAGUUGUCUUAAGCGAAUACCUAGAGGUUUGUCAGUCUUACUGCUGUAGCAGAGACAGAUCUUUGUGAUUGGUUGCAUGGCUUGUAUGUCCAAGGAAACUCUGGCUUGGAAAGCAUCUCCAGAUUGGCUGUCGGUAGAAGCGGGUCUAUGCGUUGUUUUUCCAUUCUUCCGGGGAGCCUUUCCUGGGCCUGGAAGCUGAUUUACUCUUUCAGGAAGCGACGCAGGCUAUGCGCAUUUACUUGUUGUUAUGUUGCAGAAUGAUAGCAAAGUGUAAAGUCAGUAAAUAAACUGAUCACAUGUGGUGGAUGCAGUUCCUUUAGCUAACUUGCAGUACAAUAUGUUAGAAACUGCAGGCCAUGGCUAUAACCCGAGAGAGUGAGUAUGUCUCUCACAUGUUCCUUUGCAGGCAGGCCUUUGAUCUCUUUCCGUGGUGGGGUUAGGCCUAAGUGUCCUUAGAGACUUAUGCAUGUCAUCUAGGUUGCCUAGUGAGCCAGCAAGGAGAGAAUGAACAAGAGAAGAGAGGGAUGAUUUAUUAUAGGACAUACCCAGACACCAUAUGAUCAGUCUUUUCAACCGUGAUCAUGUGACUGUGAGUCUGACCUGUUGAUUCAAGAUGGCACCCAAACCAUGUAGGAAGUGCAUCCAUUUUUUUACAUAGUCCUCUCAUUUUUGGAAACCAAAAGUAAUUGUACAGUUAGAUACUCUGCUUUUUCGUGGCCAGCUGUGUUGUUGUUGUAUCUUUAGUUGCACAAGAAAGCUAACAAAAUGUAUAGACCUGAUUCUAGGUGAGGGUUCUAUGUAGAUUCCUGGUAUGCCUGUUGCUGUUAUCAGCUUGUCAGCUCUCAGCGUGGGGACUAGAGAAGUGUCAAGCCAUUGUGUGGUGGAAAAAUCUGAAAUAAAUCAAUCAAUUAUACGAUUGCUCAUUAUUUGAGUACCGGGACACCAAUGCCAGAAAUGUCGCCUGGAGAAAGGUGUCAGAGACAGUGGGUGUUUCGGGUGAGUUUGAAAAAUUAGCAUUUUGAAGGGUAGUACUUUACUUUCUUGAAAGGUAGCUUAGCUUAGCAGCUGUGAAUCUUUGAGAUAUUGUGAUGCUCCUAUAUUUAUAGACCACUAUCUUAAAGGUACAGUCUCUCCUAAUUUGCAUUAAACAAGCGGGAAUUUUGGAUUAUGUUGAAUGAGCGGAAAUACAUUUUCAGCAGGACUUCGUAACACCAUCCAGUGCCCACCACAUAUUUUUUUGACACGCCCCCAAGCAGCCAGGCGAUGCGUCGACAUGCGACGUGGACACUCACCGUAAGCCUCAAAAAACAGAGUAUCCCGGUUAAAGUUUCAUUAAAAUUACAUGAAAAAGCUAUGGAGUUCCGGAACAAACUCAUAUGGAUGGGUGAGACGAGUAUUAGCCUGUAUCGAAGUCAUGGUAUUGCACUGAGCUGUUGUAUUGUGAAGAGUCUUAUGUCUAAAGUAGUGUAUUUUGACUCUGUAAAAUGUCUCACAGUAAGAGAAUUCUUAUAAUUUCUUCCCACCAAAACUUUAUGCUCAUUAAUCCAGAGAUGUAUUUAUUGUCUAUUUGUUUGACCAAUCUAUCGGAAAUUGCAUGGGCCCAUGACAACAUGCAUUGUAUGGUCUCUGUAAUGGUGUCUUUGAUUUUAUUUUUUCGCCUCACAGCAGAAAGGUUCUGGGUUUGAAUCCAGCCUGGGUCUUUCUGUGUGGAGUUUGCAUGUUCUCCCUGUGUCUGUAUGGGUUUCCUCCGCGUACUCCAGUUUCCUCCCACAGUCCAAAGACAUGCAGGUAGGCUAAUUGGAGACUCUAAAUGGCCUAGGUAUCAGUGUGUCAGUGAAUGAUGAGUGAAUGGUGUGUGUACCCUGUGAUAGAUUGGUGGCCUGUCCAGGGUGUAUUCCUGCCUCUUGCCCAAUGCAUGUUGGGAUAGGCUCCAGCACACCCCCCACAACCCUGCCCAGGAUAAGCAGGUAUAGAUAAUGGAUGGAUGGAUGGAAAACACAUAUGAAUACAUCUGCAGUGUGGGUCUUUUUAGAGUAAAUUAUUCCUACUGGCCAACAGACCUGCCUUCACCACAUUUUUAAGGAGUGCUGAGUUCAGAAAAUUCAAACGUAUCACUGAGGGAUAACUAUUUUUCCAUCAAAGUUCAGAUAAAACAGGUUUUAUUUAAAGAGGAGCAAAAUUUGCAGGUAAUUCAUAUCACACAUAUACACUGUUAAUUUUUUUCUACGCCAUUACAUUUGUCGCCACUAAGCUGCAAUCAAUUUAUGAGCUUCGUAAUGGGAUGGAUAUGGGUUACUUCUACAGAAAAAAAAAACAUAUCAUGAUCAGCAUAUUCAUGCAUAGUGAAUAUUAUUUCAAGUGCUUCAUUAGACUCUUUGAAAAUGGCAUAUUGGACCGGCAUGCAUUUUGCUCAAAAACACUGAUGAGGGUUUCUCUAUUUUCCUGGUGGAAUAAUCUAAAAGCAUCUUAAUUAUAUUGCAAUGUAAUCACUGCCAAGUGUACCCGCCAAUAAAGUGCUUCCCACGCAGAACGUUGAAGACCUCGGUGUCUGUGAAGAUAUAAUAAAAGAAAAAUCCCAUGAAAUGACAACUCAGGAAACAAGAUACAUUCAACAGUCACAUGUGAAGUCACCACUUUGACGGAUAUGCAAAUUAAGUUGAUUAUCCCUGCUACUGUAGAUUCACUAAGCCUGAAUCAUGGCCGCACGUUGCCUGUAUUUUUCUAGAAUUUAAUUUUUUUUGUAUUUAUUUAUUUAUUUGCAACUGGGUUCAGCUUCUAGGUUGUGGAGAUCAUGAAAAUCAAUUCAAAUAUUGAGUGAUGUGGUAUAAAUUCAUUCCUGAUUUAAGGAUAAAUAAGAUGAGUAAGUAAACAGUCUCUGUAUUGGAUGAAUAAACCCUAAUCAUAAUCCUUUGUACAAAAUGUGAAAAAGUGUCCCACAGAAAUGAUUUGUAUUUGAAUAUUGUAAAGAUUGUCAAUAUUUAAAUAUAAGAUUCAUUUUUAAAGUGUAAAACAUAAAAUUGACCAAAAAUAUGAUUGAUAAAACUUCUUGGGGAAGCAAAUUGUUCAGCACACAGAGAUAUAUUCCCAAGAACUGUGUUCACUGUUUUCAUUUGAAAAGGGAAGGUUAGAGAAAAGGAUUGGCGUCUUAAAGCUAGCAAUGGUUUUGCUUUAUAGAACAGAAAUUGCUGGGAAAUAAUGAUAAACUAUUUUCCUUAUAAAAAUUAAAUUAUUAUUCAUAAAACAUUAAGCAUGGCUGACAGCCAAUCAAAAUAAAGCACUUAUACCAGCAACAUAUCAUUUAUUAACAUUAAGUGUGGUGACUGGAUUUUUGACAUUUUUUACAUGCAUUUUCUUUUAUUUAUGAUGUUUUGCAAGAUGACAGCAUUCAAAAAUUGAAAAUUAUACAGAAGUUAUAAGUUUGAAAUUCAGACUGGUAGGAGUUUCUAUUUAAAUGAAGGACUCUAUUCAUCAAGCACUCUUGUGUUGACCCUGUGUGUAUUAUACUGUGCAGGGUGUAACAGCAGCGGUGCAGUGGUGGUGUGUGGCUGGGAAGCGGGGUGGCGGCAGCUUCACGGACCGGCGCUAUGCUGGGGAGGCGGGCGACCUGCUCGGCCAUGACCUGCGUGGCGUGGCUCUCUGCUGCCCCUGUUGGCUUCAAUGAGCGUCUACAUACUUUCCUCCAUGUCGCAGCUAUAGCAUCCGCGAAGCAUCCGCGAAGCAUCCGCGAAGCAUCGCCCGAGCGGGACGCGGCUGGAACCUGGGGAACGACCGCAGGUAGCUUCCCGAAUGUGCACGCGGCUGUGCUGUGAGGCGCUCAACACCGG
Anguilla rostrata (American eel) is the source of this 6105-nucleotide long non-coding RNA. RefSeq lists it as uncharacterized. NCBI's taxonomy places the organism in Eukaryota, Metazoa, Chordata, Actinopteri, Anguilliformes, Anguillidae. The transcript is spliced from 5 exons. The record is from RefSeq and is a predicted model, not a curated record.